GGGGGGGGGGGGGGGGGGGGGGGGGGGGGGGGGGGGGGGGGGGGGGGGGGGGGGGGGGGGGGGGGGGGGGGGGGGGGGGGGGGUCUCUGCUCAUGGUGCCCCUUUCCGCCCUUCAGCGCAGCCGCCAUUUUGCCGUGAGGGCAGAGGCGUGAGGGCACAGCGCUCUCCCCUCACAGUGCCCCUUUCCGCCCUUCAUUGCAGCCGCCAUUUUGCCGUGAGGGCAGAGGCGUGAGGGCACAGCGCUCUCCCCUCACAGUGCCCCUUUCCGCCCUUCAGCACAGCAUCACAGCCAUCAGCUGAAGGCUGGCUCUAGGCUCUAGGUCUGCUGUGCACCUCAGGGCAAGGCGAUGGACGUUUUUAUGGCACUUUUCAUGGUCCUAUGCACGUUGGGGUUGCUCAGGUGUCCAUGCACACCUGCCAGUCCAAGUGCCUCAGCAGGACCCUUCCUGCACCUCAGGAGGGGCUGAGGUGGAAAAAAGAACACGGUGACCUCAUGGGAAACAUGGAGCCCAGAGCUACUGCAGCUGCAUUUGGCCCCCCUGGAAGGGAAUAACACACAUAAGAGAGGAAGAAAUAGAAAAAGAGACGCAAAAUAUGGAGUAGCUAAAGUGGGUGUUGCAUUCCUUCCACAAAGGAAGCAUGAACCCAUCCUUCGAGGAGUUGCUGAGCCAGGGGAAGCACAGCAUGGCCACCCGGACAAGAGAAGCACUGCCGCCAGCCUGGCAGAGGUGCAGGACAGCAGUGCCCAGGAGGAGCAGGUCCAGGCUGAGAGGAUGCCAGCCCUCAGGGGAAGAAGCCACCGAGGAAAAGCGGGUAACGCUGGGGAAAAGCAGAAAGGAUGGAGUCAUUAUGGAUUCUGAAAGAAGUAAAAACAAACACCCACUACAGAACACUUGGAAGAGCACAGGAGACCCUGCAGCACAGCUCUGCUGUAACAGCCCACUCAUCCCCACAAGCUUUAUCUUUUUGAGUGGAAAAUGUGCUGGCAAUAGAAACAAGCUUGUGUGAGAAAUGCAGGCUGAGCCUCCAGGUAAAGGUAAGUAAGUCAUUGCAUUCCAACAAAAGGAAAUGCACAAUGCUGGACUGAAAAUCCUGGCAGAUUCCUGUUCCCUGAUGUACCCAGUCUUGAGGGAGGUGUCACUCUAGGAAAGCAUUGGUCUCUGUCCUCAUGUACUCAGUCCAUAUUUGAGUUUUUUCAAUCAGCUGUAGAAUUGACAAGAUUUGUAGUGGUUCUUAGAUGCUGCUAGGUAGACUUAAAUUUUUUUUCCAGGCCUAGGGAAAGGAGAUAUUUAGGUCCAAGGAAAGUCAGGCAGGACUCUUAAACAGAUUGCCCAGAUAGUUUGUGGAGUUUCCCUCACUGGAGAUACUCAAGAAUGGUCUGGAUACAAUCCUGUACCAUGUGCUCUGGGAUGCCGCUGAUUGAGCGGGAAAGCUGGACCAGAUGCCCCCACUGUGGUCCCUUCCAACCUGACCCAUUCUG
This 1480-nucleotide long non-coding RNA is filed under the name Ficedula albicollis (Collared flycatcher). Its description in RNAcentral is "lncRNA (ENSFALG00000026099.1)". The record is from RNAcentral. Lineage: Eukaryota; Metazoa; Chordata; Aves; Passeriformes; Muscicapidae.